RNAcentral lists this ribosomal RNA (422 nucleotides) under uncultured bacterium. RNAcentral's name for it is "partial 16S ribosomal RNA". It matches the Rfam family "Bacterial small subunit ribosomal RNA", at positions 359 to 773 of the family's 1533-position model. The record is from RNAcentral.
GAAUUUUGGACAAUGGGCGAAAGCCUGAUCCAGCAAUGCCGCGUGCAGGAUGAAGGCCUUCGGGUUGUCAACUGCUUUUGUACGGAACGAAAAGCUUUGGGCUAAUCCCCUGGAGUCAUGACGCUACCGUAAGACUAACCACAGGCUAACUACGUGCCAGCAACCGCGGUAAUACGUAGGGUGCAAGAGUUAAUCGAAAUUACUGGGCGUAAAGCUUGCGCAGGCGGUUUUGUAAGACAGAGGUGAAAUCCCCGGGCUCAACCUGGGAACUGCCUUUGUGACAGCAAGGCUAGAGUACGGCAGAGGGGGGUGGAACUCCGCGUGUAGCAGUGAAAUGCGUAGAUAUGCGGAGGAACACCGAUGGCGAAGGCAACCCCCUGGGCCUGUACUGACGCUCAUGCACGAAAGCGUGGGGAGCAAAC